RNAcentral lists this ribosomal RNA (253 nucleotides) under uncultured bacterium. Its description in RNAcentral is "partial 16S ribosomal RNA". It matches the Rfam family "Bacterial small subunit ribosomal RNA", at positions 524 to 776 of the family's 1533-position model. The record is from RNAcentral.
UACGGAGGGCGCAAGCGUUGUUCGGAAUCACUGGGCGUAAAGCGCGUGCAGGCGGCUUGGUAAGUCGGGUGUGAAAUCCCGGAGCUCAACUCCGGAUCUGCACCCGAUACUGCCUCGCUAGAGUCCCGGAGAGGAUGUCGGAAUUUCCGGUGUAGAGGUGAAAUUCGUAGAUAUCGGAAGGAACACCAGCGGCGAAGGCGGCCAUCUGGACGGUGACUGACGGUCAGACGCGAAAGGGCUGGGAGCAAACAGG